Oryza glumipatula is the source of this 209-nucleotide non-coding RNA. Lineage: Eukaryota; Viridiplantae; Streptophyta; Magnoliopsida; Poales; Poaceae. The record is from Rfam.
AAAAAAACAAACUCUAAAUUUUCGUGUCUAAUGUUUGACUGUCCGUCUUAUAUGGAAUUUGUUUUUAUGAUUAGUAUUUUCAUUGUUGUUAGAUGAUAAACCAUGAUUAAUUCUUUAUACUUGACUUACUUUUUUAAUUUUUUUUAUAAUUUUUUCAAAUAAGACGGACGGUCAAAUAUUGGACACGGACACCCACGGUUUGAUUUUUU